AACGAACGCUGGCGGCAUGCCUAACACAUGCAAGUCGAACGAGAUCUUCGGGUCUAGUGGCGCACGGGUGCGUAACGCGUGGGAAUCUGCCCUUUGGUUCGGAAUAACAGUUGGAAACGACUGCUAAUACCGGAUGAUGACGAAAGUCCAAAGAUUUAUCGCCAGAGGAUGAGCCCGCGUAGAGUUAGCUAGGUGGUGUGGUAAAGGCGCACCAAGGCGACGAUCCGUAGCUGGUCUGAGAGGAUGAUCAGCCACACUGGGACUGAGACACGGCCCAGACUCCUACGGGAGGCAGCAGUGGGGAAUAGUGGACAAUGGGCGAAAGCCUGAUCCAGCAAUGCCGCGUGAGUGAUGAAGGCCUUAGGGUCGUAAAGCUCUUUUACCCGGGAUGAUAAUGACAGUACUGGGAGAAUAAGCUCCGGCUAACUCCGUGCCAGCCGCCGCCGUAA
This 449-nucleotide ribosomal RNA is filed under the name uncultured bacterium. RNAcentral describes it as "partial 16S ribosomal RNA". It matches the Rfam family "Bacterial small subunit ribosomal RNA", at positions 29 to 523 of the family's 1533-position model. The record is from RNAcentral.